UACGUAGGGGGCAAGCGUUGUCCGGAAUCAUUGGGCGUAAAGCGCGUGUAGGCGGCUCGAUAAGUCCGCUCUGAAAUCCCUCGGCUCAACUGAGGAACUGCCUUUGAAACUGUCUGGCUUGAGGCCGGGAGAGGGUAGCGGAAUUCCCAGUGUAGCGGUGAAAUGCGUAGAUAUGCGGAGGAACACCGAUGGCGAAGGCAAUCCCCUGGGCCUGUACUGACGCUCAUGCACGAAAGCGUGGGGAGCAAACAGG
This 253-nucleotide ribosomal RNA is filed under the name uncultured bacterium. RNAcentral describes it as "partial 16S ribosomal RNA". It matches the Rfam family "Bacterial small subunit ribosomal RNA", at positions 524 to 776 of the family's 1533-position model. The record is from RNAcentral.